Molecule: ribosomal RNA, 460 nt
Filed under: uncultured bacterium
Lineage: Bacteria
Description: partial 16S ribosomal RNA
Rfam family: Bacterial small subunit ribosomal RNA
Source: RNAcentral
CCUACGGGUGGCAGCAGUGAGGAAUAUUGGUCAAUGGACGCAAGUCUGAACCAGCCAUGCCGCGUGCAGGAUGACGGCUCUAUGAGUUGUAAACUUCUUUUGUACGGGGGUAAACCCCGAUACGUGUAUCGGUUUGAAAGUAUCUUACGAAUAAGGAUCGGCUAACUCCGUGCCAGCAGCCGCGGUAAUACGGAGGAUCCGAGCGUUAUCCGGAUUUAUUGGGUUUAAAGGGUGCGUAGGCGGGUUGAUAAGUUAGGGGUGAAAUGUUGGGGCUCAACCCCGAAACUGCCUAUAAGACUGUUAGACUAGAGUACAGUUGAGGUAGGCGGAAUGUGUGGUGUAGCGGUGAAAUGCUUAGAGAUCACACAGAACACCGAUUGCGAAGGCAGCUUACCAAACUAUAUCUGACGUUGAGGCACGAAAGCGUGGGUAGCAAACAGGAUUAGAUACCCGUGUAGUC